RNAcentral lists this ribosomal RNA (301 nucleotides) under uncultured bacterium. RNAcentral describes it as "partial 16S ribosomal RNA". It matches the Rfam family "Bacterial small subunit ribosomal RNA", at positions 509 to 807 of the family's 1533-position model. The record is from RNAcentral.
CAGUAGCCACGGUAAUACGGAGGGUGCAAGCGUUAAUCGGAAUUACUGGGCGUAAAGCGUGCGCAGGCGGUUAUAUAAGACAGAUGUGAAAUCCCCGGGCUCAACCUGGGACCUGCAUUUGUGACUGUAUAGCUAGAGUACGGUAGAGGGGGAUGGAAUUCCGCGUGUAGCAGUGAAAUGCGUAGAUAUGCGGAGGAACACCGAUGGCGAAGGCAAUCCCCUGGGCCUGCACUGACGCUCAUGCACUAAAGCGUGGGGAGCAAACAGGAUUAGAUACCCCCGUAGUCCCUGUCUCUUAUAC